UAACAGCUGUCUAUUUUUUCUGAACUAGGGAAAAGCGGCAAUCCAGUCACUGGUGAGUCUUGCAGAAGGGUACAGCGCUCACUUCCAUCCUGUUGCUCAGCUUAAAAAACAGGUGCUGAGCUGUGAGAAGCGCAUCAGGGCCUGGCCUUGUCUGCCUCUGCCCGAAGAGGCUGAGAGGGGAGCAGCCAGAUUAGAAGGUGAUUCUGAAACAAAAGCCUGCAGUGCCUUAAUUAUAAAAAUCAUGUGUGAGCUGUGCCGCCAUGUGCCUGAGAGUCAUUGUGUUUUUGAGGACUUGGAUGAUAUUCCUCCUGAGAGCCUGGUGGUGGCAUUAAAAUCACGCCCUGCUGUCCCCAAGAGGAACAUCAGAUAAGCUUCGAUUGUCUGCACUUGUUGGGCUGUCUGCUGGCAGUUAAAGUACUUUGCUCACAAGUAAGCGUGCAUUCCUGUAAUCUGGCUUGUGUAACAGCUAUACUGGCAGAGUGGAAAACUACGUGAGCUGACCUCUGCAGAAGCUUCCUGCCCGGGCGGUCCAGGCGUAACAUGAACGGUGAAGAGCAGGCGCUGGCCUGCCCGUCACAAGGCUUGU
Non-coding RNA from Manis javanica (Malayan pangolin), 586 nucleotides. Lineage: Eukaryota; Metazoa; Chordata; Mammalia; Pholidota; Manidae. The record is from RefSeq and is a predicted model, not a curated record.